UUUAUAUAUGUCCAACCCUAACACUGAUCUUCCGAAAUCCCACCUUUUCUCACCCUCAAACUCCCGCCGCCGCUCACGCUCCUUGCUGCCGUCCUUGCGCCUUCGUCGUCGCCUACCUUCUGUUUGUUGUUAAAUCCGAUAUCCGUCAACUUGCAAUUUGCUAUCAAUCCCUACCUUCACCAUUUCACAACGCCACCAGGCCCUCCAUCGCUCUCCAAACCCUAUCUUGUUCCCAUUCCGAUCGCAUCCUUUCCUCCGUCCCUCAACUGGAUUGAUCGCCCAGAAAACGGCAGCGGGAGUGGUGUUUUUAAUAUCCUUUGCUACUGGAGUCUAAGCCUCGUGCUUCCCCUGAGCGACGAUCCAAAAGAAACGGUAGCAAACUUUCUUGUGGAGUGAGAUGUUCCAGCUUGGCCGAAGAAAUGAGGAUAAGUCCAGUAUGAUUUGGUUUAUCCAUGGAACUACAGGAAGAAGGAAAAAAAACAUUCUGGUGCUUUUGCUUUUGGCAUGGGAGGUAUUGGAAAGAUAGGUUCAAUAAUUCUGUCUAUGUUAUUCACGAGAUUAAUAGAAUCGUGAAUAACCAUUAGAGAAGGGACUCCAUGAGUUAUACUAGCACUCCAGCACCGAUUAGAGAGUUAUGGUGGAGUGAAUUAAAGGUAUAUCUCAUUUGUUUUAUAUCUUAAAUGAAAGUAAAUAUAUAAAUAAUUAUUAUUUUUUCUAUUACAGUGAUCAUUCACUUGGGACAUGAGUGAUGAGAUGGAAAUAAGAAGGAUUUUCAUGAAAAAAAUGUGGUGAUCACAUUCGUCAUGUACUCAAUCAUGCGAAGUCAAAGGGGAAAAAAAUCACCAUUUAUUACUGAGGAAAACUGGAUAAGGAUUACCAAUUAUCGGGAAACUGAGGAGUUUAAAACAAGAAGUCACCACAAUAAAACAAAUCAAUCUUUUAAUUCUAGAGAUAUGUCUGCUACAUAUAUGGGAGGAUCUAUCAAUAUUGAUGAGCAUAAACGCAGAUUGAACUAGGAAAGGAGCCUACAUUUAUAGAAAUUUUUACCCGCACCUUUCAGAAAAAAGAUAAGACUUGGAGCGGGGAUAGAGCUAUAGAGCAAUCAAGGAGAAAUAUGAUGAACUAGAGAUAACACAGAGAUGUUCAGGUUUUGCUAGUGCAGAUAUGGAGGGGCCUGAGCCAUCUAUUGGUACUGAUUUAAAUUUAUGACUACAGGCGAGUGAAGAGUCAAAAAAAAAAGGAGGAAAGAUAUUUGGAAUGGGUUCUUUGAGCAGAACCCAUAGAGUUGGCCGUCUUUCUUCUUCCUCAUAGACCCAGCAGAUGAGCCACUUGACUGCAGAGGUUUCACAGUUGAAUGAGAUUUUAAAUGAAAGAGAUGAAGAAAUGAGACAAAUCCGCCUAAAUCAAGAAUUGAUUUUGCGACAUUUUAAGUUAAUUUCUGCUCCAAGUCAGAAUCCUUCCGGUGACGGUGACAAUGGUGAUCAUGAUGAUGACGAUGGUGGUGAAUCUUAGUUAAUUUAUAGAAAAGGAGAACGAAGAAUGGAAGAAGGUGCAUGAAGCUCUCGAAGUAUGACGAUUAGUAUUUUGUUUUAUGCUUUAGAUGUUUUGUUGUAUCUGUUAUUUGGAUUAUGAGUUGUUGAACCAAAUUAGUUCUUGUUUUCAUGUGUAAAUAUGAUGUUGAAUUGACAUAUUUGAAUGUAAGAUAUGGGAUGUGUAAUUUUGUUUGUUUGGAUGUGUAUAAAUAUGAUGUGUUGGAGUUUGGUUAAUAUAUUUUAAAUUUGAAUGUA
RNA transcript from Zingiber officinale, 1787 nucleotides. RefSeq lists it as uncharacterized. Lineage: Eukaryota; Viridiplantae; Streptophyta; Magnoliopsida; Zingiberales; Zingiberaceae. The transcript is spliced from 6 exons. The record is from RefSeq and is a predicted model, not a curated record.